CUACGGGAGGCUGCAGUAGGGAAUCUUCCGCAAUGGACGAAAGUCUGACGGAGCAACGCCGCGUGAGUGAUGAAGGUUUUCGGAUCGUAAAACUCUGUUGUUAGGGAAGAACAAGUACGAGAGUAACUGCUCGUACCUUGACGGUACCUAACCAGAAAGCCACGGCUAACUACGUGGCCAGCAGCCGCGGUAAUACGUAGGUGGCAAGCGUUGUCCGGAAUUAUUGGGCGUAAAGCGCGCGCAGGCGGUCCUUUAAGUCUGAUGUGAAAGCCCACGGCUCAACCGUGGAGGGUCAUUGGAAACUGGGGGACUUGAGUGCAGAAGAGAAGAGUGGAAUUCCACGUGUAGCGGUGACAUGCGUAGAGAUGUGGAGGAACACCAGUGGCGAAGGCGACUCUUUGGUCUGUAACUGACGCUGAGGCGCGAAAGCGUGGGGAACAAACAGGAUUAGAUACCCCUGUAGUC
RNAcentral lists this ribosomal RNA (465 nucleotides) under uncultured bacterium. Its description in RNAcentral is "partial 16S ribosomal RNA". It matches the Rfam family "Bacterial small subunit ribosomal RNA", at positions 339 to 795 of the family's 1533-position model. The record is from RNAcentral.